RNAcentral lists this ribosomal RNA (301 nucleotides) under uncultured bacterium. RNAcentral describes it as "partial 16S ribosomal RNA". It matches the Rfam family "Bacterial small subunit ribosomal RNA", at positions 509 to 809 of the family's 1533-position model. The record is from RNAcentral.
CAGUCGCCGCGGUAAUACGUAGGUGGCAAGCGUUGUCCGGAAUUAUUGGGCGUAAAGGGCGCGUAGGCGGACUGAUAAGUCAGGGGUGAAAUCCCAAGGCUCAACCUUGGAACUGCCUUUGAUACUGUUUGUCUUGAGUUCGAGAGAGGUAAGUGGAACUGCGAGUGUAGAGGUGAAAUUCGUAGAUAUUCGCAAGAACACCAGUGGCGAAGGCGGCUUACUGGCUCGAAACUGACGCUGGGGCGCGAAAGCGUGGGGAGCAAACAGGAUUAGAUACCCGAGUAGUCCCUGUCUCUUAUAU